AGUGGCAGAAAACUGCACAGACAUAAGGGAGCUAUGCAAAAAGAAGGACGGCUGUUUCUGUGACGACACACAAGAAAAGCUAACCGUGAAAGUGGCAGAAAACUGCACAGACAUAAGGGAGCUAUGCAAAAAGAAGGACGGCUGUUUCUGUGACGACACACAAGAAAAGCUAACCGUGAAAGUGGCAGAAAACUGCACAGACAUAAGGGAGCUAUGCAAAAAGAAGGACGGCUGUUUCUGUGACGACACACAAGAAAAGCUAACUGUGAAAGUGGCAGAAAACUGCACAGACAUAAGGGACCUUUGCAAAAAGGAGGACGGCUGUUUCUGUGACGACACACAAGAAAAGCUAACUGUGAAAGUGGCAGAAAACUGCACAAACAUAAGGGAGCUUUGCAAAAAGGAGGACGGCUGUUUCUGUGACGACAAACAAGAAAAGCUAACUGUGAAAGUGGCAGAAAUCUGUACAGACAUAAGGGAGCUCUGCAAAAAGGAGGACGGCUGUUUCUGUGAUGACACGCAAGGAAAGCUAACUGUGAAAGAUCAGGCACCACUCACUGUUGCCCCGGUCAACAAAAGGGAUCACGGUGGCUGCGUGUGCAACUGCAACUGCCCAUCAUGUGCAACGGUCG
Molecule: long non-coding RNA, 632 nt
Organism: Rhipicephalus sanguineus (brown dog tick)
Lineage: Eukaryota; Metazoa; Arthropoda; Arachnida; Ixodida; Ixodidae
Exons: 7
Source: RefSeq, a predicted model, not a curated record